This is a long non-coding RNA of Phyllostomus discolor (pale spear-nosed bat), 2593 nucleotides long. RefSeq lists it as uncharacterized. NCBI's taxonomy places the organism in Eukaryota, Metazoa, Chordata, Mammalia, Chiroptera, Phyllostomidae. The transcript has 2 exons. The record is from RefSeq and is a predicted model, not a curated record.
AGCAACACAGAGAAGGAUUCUGAUUGAGUUGUGUGUCUACCAUGAGACUGGCCACUGCUACCAGGGACACAGGGUGCUAUGAGAGCUCCACCUGGGGCACACUGAAUAUGAAUGACACCCCUGGGGUUACAUGCAUGCUCGGCCCAGCAGCCCUCGAGAAGGAAGCCAUUCAGGCGACAAGCAGGCUCUUGUGCUUGGCUUCUUAUCACUAACCAGAGGAGCCUGCGCUGGAAAUGAGAUUCAGAGCCAGCACCAGGAAAGGCUGUUUCCUUAAUUGAGCGCCUCCCUUUUGAAGUGCUGUCUCCCUGGCGGAGCCUGGAGCUGGCUGGGUCCCCCUGGCUAAGAUCACUGUGUGUAAUCUCCUGCAUGCCAGAAGCAGAUGCUCCACGGCAUGGAGCUUUUCUGACAGGCCUUUGAUAAGAUUUCUCAGUCCUCCAUGUGCUGGGCAGGUGGAGGGAGGAACAGUUUUCAGAAAAGUCACUGAUCAAAGGGUUCGAGAGCUUAGGUGUUCCGAGCUUUCCUGACACACACAGCUCAGUCAGGAAUCUGCAGUUCUGGGGGAUUCUCAGUGCCUUGAUGGUGCUCCGCAUCGUGUCCCUUCUCAUGUUGUCUCCAUAGGGGUAAGAACCAAUUUUCUUCUGGUUUCUUCAAUUAAUGGAAAUUGAAUUUGUGUUUUUUGAGACUUCUUCAUCUGGUUUGGGUCGUUUGGAGAUACACAAGGCUUUCAGGAGCUCCUGUACAGUGUUCAGUGGAUGAAGUAAAUACCUCAUCUUGGGUUGAUUUGGGGGAAAGGGCUAUUUUAAGAAGUCAUCCAAGUUCACGUGAUGUUGGAGUUAAUUAAGCUUGGAGUCCAAAUGUCCUCUGGAAAUGAGGGUGAUGCCAGACAUAAGGACAAGAUUGUCACGAAAUUAGAUUAUGUAAAAUGUGAGAAGCCCCUAGCAGAAAUGUUCUGAAAAGCUCAGAAAAGUUUAUUAUUAGAUUAUUGUUUUAUUAUUUCCCUGGUAGGGAGGAGAGCCCUUAGCUGAGGGCUGGACUAUCUAAGCCUCAUGCAGGGACAACACUAAAGCCCAAAAGAGUCAAGGCUUUGUCAGCUGUUGCAAAACAAUUGCACCUGGGUGGAGAAGCUACACCUGGCUUUUCAACCUUAUGUGUGCUCUCCCCUGCUCUUCUGCCACCUCUCUUUUCCCACUUCCUACUCCGUGUUCUCCACACCCAUCAUCCCUUUCCUACCUUCAUCCUUUUUCCCUUUUGACAUUCUGUCUCCCACACUCAGCAAAAUCCCCAAAUCAGAUGGAUACAGUUGUGUGGAGUCUUUCUCUUCUGCCCUGGCUGCUGAGCUUUAUAGAGAAUUUCCUGUGCUCAGAAUGAUGUCACCACUUCCUCCUGCAUUCCUGCCUCUAUAUGGCCUCAAUUCACACUUGCUCCUCCAGUCCUAUCUCACUUCCUCCCACCUUCUCAGCAGAUGACUUGGUCUAUCUAGUUACUGGGAAAAUGGAGGCUGCCAGGAAGCGGCCCCUCAGCCUGCUUGCUGCCGCCUGUCUGCACACAUUCCAAUCACUGUAUCCUCACCCAAGGCUGUAACCACCACCUCAGUCCAACCUAGGUCACUCUCCAAAGCUCUAAAUCCAUACAACUGCCCUCUGGACAUGUCUGCUUAGAUGUCCCACAGGCACCUCAAAAAUUAUGAUCUUGUUAACCGGCUCUCCUAUCCUCUUAUCUCUCAUAUCAAAUAGGUCAUCAGAGACAGUUGUUUCUACCUCCUAAUUUUCUCUAAGACCCUUCUUCAGCUCUCCAUUCCAUAGCCACUGCUUAGUUUGGGAGCCUGUCUUUGCUUCCCUAGGUCACUGCAAUGGCCCCCAGCCCAUCCUUCCAUCUCUGGCCCUGCUGCACUCCCAUCCAUCCUUCCGUCCAUCCACACUGCCUUCAGGGAGAACCUUCCCAACUCAGGCUGAGUAGACUUCCCUGGGGUCCUUGAUGACCUCCUCUAGAAACCCACAGGGGUGGGUCCCUGCAAUUCUUAUAGGCCCCUAACCAUCCCCAGUUACAGGUGGUUGGGUCGAAGGUCACUCGAGAUCCAGUUCCUCUAAGAAUUUACAUUAAGGACACAGAAGAUUCUAAAUAGUCAUGUCAGGACUUAAACCACAUGAGUAUUUUCUACAUAAUUUUAAUUUUCUUCUUUUCCUUCUCUGUGGUUUCAAAAAUAAAGAAAAUUAAUAUUUUUGUAAGAAAGAAACUUAAAGAACUCUUUGCUGGUUUUAAAAUAAAAACUCUCGAAUUUGGUCUUUAUACUCUCAAGUCAGUUCUCAUUUGAUUGCUUACUUAUGCUAAGGAGGAAAAACAAAUACACUAUAAGCAAUACUAUUUACUCUUGUUGUCAAAACAUUCUCAGGUCAUAGGAACUGGGAAUUCUUCCUAUUAAAUGUCUUUGCUGCUUUCCUUCUGUUCCUCCUCUCUUUCUGGCGGGCCUUGUGUUAAACCUUUGAAUUUCUAGGGGGCAGUAAUAGUGUUUGGUUAAAAGUCUGGGUUUUGGAGCCAAAUAAAUAUAAAUUAAAAUCCUAGCUUUACCACUAACAGGGUGACCGUGGACAAACUA